RNAcentral lists this long non-coding RNA (25680 nucleotides) under Lathyrus oleraceus (garden pea). Its description in RNAcentral is "Pisum sativum (pea) long non-coding RNA (PSAT_LNC032212)". Lineage: Eukaryota; Viridiplantae; Streptophyta; Magnoliopsida; Fabales; Fabaceae. The record is from RNAcentral.
GUUGAAGCAUAAAAACUAAAUAAUGCUUUUAUUUAAAAAUUUAAAGAUAGCACAAUACAAAAAUCCCAAUAAACAUAACAUAUUAAACGAUAAACCAACAAAACACAAUACAAAAAACCCAAUAAACAUAACAUAUUAAACGAUAAACAAACAAAGUUACUCUAAAGAGAUGCAUUACAUAGGAAUUUUAGCAACAAGACAAAGAGGAUUCUUCUUGUGUUGAGUGAUCCCUGGCAACAUUUCAUAAUCAAUAUCUUCCUUUUUUAACCCAUCUGGCAAUCCCCAAUCAAAUGAAUAGAGAAGAUUAGCAAGAACAAGUUCCAAGAAAGCAACUCCCAUGGUUAUACCAGGACAAAUUCUACGACCAGCUCCAAAAGGUAUUAGUUCAAAAUCUUGUCCAGUAAAAUUUAUAGAACUUUCUAAAGAACUUUCUAGGAAUCUCUCGGGAUAAAAUUCGUCAGGAUUUUUCCAAAAAUUAGGGUCUCUCUGAAUAGCCCAAGCAUUCACAUACAAUAUUGUCUUGGCUGGAAUUUCGUAUCCACUUAAAGUACACUUUUCACGUGCUUCUCUUUGCACAAGCAAUGGAGAUGGUAGAUUCAUUCUUAAUGUUUCUUUAAUCGCUGCUUUUAAAUAAGGAAAAUUUUUAAUAUCAUCUUCAUUAAUAAAAUCUUUUUUUCUUCCCACACUCCUAAUUUCUUCUUGUACCUUUUUCAUUACUCUUGGGUUUUUUAUUAGCGCAAGCAUAAACCAAAUUAAUGUGGCUGAUGAGGUAUCUGUUGCAGCUACAAGCAUAUCCUAAAAAAAAUAUUUAUGAUUAAAAACAUUAACUCAAUUUUUCAUAUUUGCAUGUUAUCAAAAUAUAUAAUAUAAUAAGCAAAUUAAAAUUUAAAAAAAAAAAUCUUUUUCUUAAGAAAAUCUAUGAAUUGAAAGAGAAAAUCUUUUCUUUUGUCCAACAUAUUCACAUGUGUAGUCCCUACGAAAUCUUAGCUAGUCUGUAAUGUCCACUCCUUCCACAAUCUAAUCUGUUCUACUUUUAUUUUAAUAUAUUUUCUACUCAAAAUAAAAUUUUGUUUUAUUUAUGAGAUAUAUAAAAUAUUAUUGUACCUACAAUCUUAAUUCAAGAGAUAAAAAUAUCGAUAUUGAACGUUAAGAACCUCAUUCUAAUUUGUGUAUGAUUUUAGUGAUUAUUAUGAUUUCAUUUAUAAACUAAAAUAAAAAAUAUAUAUUUAAUUCACAUAAAAACCUGUUAAAAAUUAAAAUUCAUUAAAAAUGUUAAAAAAGAAAAAAGAAUUAAAAAAUCAUACCAUGAGGACUCCUUUGAUGAGAUCAAAAGUGAUAUCAAAAGGAAGAGAACGUUCUUUCUUCAAUCGCAAUAAAACAUCAACAAUAACCUCUUCAUCUCCAUGUUCUCUAUUUGGAUCCAAAUGUUCAUCAAUAAUCUCUUGAUAAAACUUAUCAAACUCCUUGUAAAUUUUAUCAAGACGACCAUGCAAUCCUCUCGCUUUAUCAAUCCAACCCGUAAAUGGAAUAUAAUCAGCAACAAAAGUUUCUGCUAGCAAAGCUUGAAACUCAUGCAACAUUUCAGGAAACCUACUACUACUCUCAGGUCCUUCAUUUUCAAAGGUUUUUCCAAAAGCAAUGUUACAUAUUAGAGAACUUGCAAGAGAUAUCAAUACCUCACUCAUAUUUGUAACACUUGAAGAAUUAGCAUUUUCUGAUAUUUUUUUAAUCAGUUUCCUCACCUCAAAGUUUCUUAUGGAAGAAUAAUAUGCUACACGUAUGGAACUAAAAAUAUGAAUAACACAAAUUUUUCUUAUAUCUCUCCAAGAUUCAUUGUAUUGUGAAAAUAAAACUUCUGAUCCGUUAUAAGAUAAUUUUUGUUGGCUAUAUAAUUGAGGUCUGUCAGAAAACGUAUGGUCAUUUUUUUUAAAAAUUUCUUUGGCAAUUUCAGAUGAAGAAACUACAAUAGCUUGUCUUGAACCAAGUUUAAGUGAAAAUAUAGGACCAUAUAUUUUUGAAAAGUCUGCAAGUUGAACACUAAUAUUAAGGAGGUCUAGUUGGUGAAGAUUUCCUAUUAUGGGAAGGCCUUUAGGACCAGGUGGAAAAUGUUUAGUGGUUUUGUGUUUGUGGAAGAAGAUUAGGAGAGGAAGAAUUAAGCAUAGAGCAAGGAGAAGUACUAGUGAUAACAUUGUUAGAACUAAUAUCACAAAUGAUGGACUAUGAGAAAGAAGAUGAAUGAGUAACUUGGUCCCUGUGAACACUUAUAUAUUAGUUUAGUAAUGAAUAUCCUAUUUACUCUAGAAAAAAGAAAAAGAAAAUAUAAAAAACUAACAGUAUUUUUCAGUUAUUGGAAAAAAAUAUUUGGACCACACAUUGUCAAGGGAAGGAUAUAUAAUAAAUUUCAAUAAAAUAGAAUUAUGGUAAUUUUAUAAGAAUAAGAUUUGGUUUUGCAUCUAACUUUAUGUUUUGAUCAUAAUAAUAGAUAGAUUUUUCGAGAACAAUUUUGUAUCUUAAUGGUUUUGGUUAGUGUGCAGAUACUAGAUGAGUUUUGACUUUGAUAGAAUGACGUGUGACAACAUCAAAUUCUAAACCUAGUGCACUGAUCAGCUGUCGCACGCGGAUCAAAACAAGUAGUUUUUCAAAAAUGUAGUUUAACGACAAAUUGACUCAAAUAUCGUUCUCAAGGAUUCUUGUUUAAUUAAUCUAAAUUCGGCCAACAAAUGGCCCAAAAGAAAAUAUUUCCUAAACUACGAAACUUCAACGAAUUAUUUGAGACGUCUUCACUCUGAAUCAGCUUUUGUCUUCAACAUAAAAGUUGUAGCUCUUUCUCUUAGCUUUCCAACGACUUGUAGCACGCCUCGAUCCGAUACUCUUAGCUCCAGUUAUGAAUUUACUCGUGCAGAUCCACUGCUAAUGCUGAAAAUAAACUGCGAGAAAUAAAUAAGUGUAAAAAUAAGAUAAAUUAUAAAAACACAUUAAAAGUGAAAAAUAAGCAAACUACAACAUGGAAAUGCAUAAGUAUAAAUAUAGAUGAAUGCGCAUCUAAAUGCACUGAUCAAAUUCCCCCACACUUGAACUUUUGCACUCCGAGCAAAAUUUAAAAAAAAAACAAAGCAAAAAAAAAAAUUUGAUCCGUUGUCGCACGCGGGUCAAAAACGAGUAAUAAAAUAUAGUAAACGGGAAGCGACACCUCGAGUAUCGUAUCGCAAGGAUUCUUGUAUUAUUCUUAACCUAAUGAAAUCGAUUUAAGGGGGGUUUAUGUUUUAGUGGUCGAUUUAGAAAACAAAGCAAAAAAAAGUGAUUAAAAUAAGUGAUUAUAAAAUAAGUCAAUCUACUGUUUUCGGUUUCCGGCUAAUCAUUGGUUUUUACCUACCAAUUUCCUAAACGGCUUCGAUCUCUAUUUGAUUCAAAUUCGAUUGACAAGCGCAAUAGAUAUCUGACAGAUUUAUAUUCCUAUAUUCCGAAUUAAGCAAACAGAUAAAUACAAUCGUGAAUUAAGCAAACACGAUUUACAAACGCAAUUUAACGACAAAGCGACGAAAACGGCGAUUAAUAGUUAGAAAUGCAAUCAUACGAAUUUAAUCAAAACCAUUCCACAAAUUACAGAUUAAGGAAAUAAAAUUUCAUAGAAUAGAAUUGAAAGAGAACGAAAUUAAAUUGAUAGAAUAAAAACCUCAAAGCCUUGGAAAUUCGGUUACAGCAGAUUGACUCUAGGAGAUUAGUUCCUCUUCAUGAUCGCACAAAAGCAAAAAGUUAUCGUGAAUAAUGUNNNNNNNNNNNNNNNNNNNNNNNNNNNNNNNNNNNNNNNNNNNNNNNNNNNNNNNNNNNNNNNNNNNNNNNNNNNNNNNNNNNNNNNNNNNNNNNNNNNNNNNNNNNNNNNNNNNNNNNNNNNNNNNNNNNNNNNNNNNNNNNNNNNNNNNNNNNNNNNNNNNNNNNNNNNNNNNNNNNNNNNNNNNNNNNNNNNNNNNNNNNNNNNNNNNNNNNNNNNNNNNNNNNNNNNNNNNNNNNNNNNNNNNNNNNNNNNNNNNNNNNNNNNNNNNNNNNNNNNNNNNNNNNNNNNNNNNNNNNNNNNNNNNNNNNNNNNNNNNNNNNNNNNNNNNNNNNNNNNNNNNNNNNNNNNNNNNNNNNNNNNNNNNNNNNNNNNNNNNNNNNNNNNNNNNNNNNNNNNNNNNNNNNNNNNNNNNNNNNNNNNNNNNNNNNNNNNNNNNNNNNNNNNNNCGGGUCAAAAACGAGUAAUAAAAUAUAGUAAACGGGAAGCGACACCUCGAGUAUCGUAUCGCAAGGAUUCUUGUAUUAUUCUUAACCUAAUGAAAUCGAUUUAAGGGGGGUUUAUGUUUUAGUGGUCGAUUUAGUAAACAAAGCAAAAAAAAGUGAUUAAAAUAAGUGAUUAUAAAAUAAGUCAAUCUACUGUUUUCGGUUUCCGGCUAAUCAUUGGUUUUUACCUACCAAUUUCCUAAACGGCUUCGAUCUCUAUUUGAUUCAAAUUCGAUUGACAAGCGCAAUAGAUAUCUGACAGAUUUAUAUUCCUAUAUUCCGAAUUAAGCAAACAGAUAAAUACAAUCGUGAAUUAAGCAAACACGAUUUACAAACGCAAUUUAACGACAAAGCGACGAAAACGGCGAUUAAUAGUUAGAAAUGCAAUCAUACGAAUUUAAUCAAAACCAUUCCACAAAUUACAGAUUAAGGAAAUAAAAUUUCAUAGAAUAGAAUUGAAAGAGAACGAAAUUAAAUUGAUAGAAUAAAAACCUCAAAGCCUUGGAAAUUCGGUUACAGCAGAUUGACUCUAGGAGAUUAGUUCCUCUUCAUGAUCGCACAAAAGCAAAAAGUUAUCGUGAAUAAUGUCUCCCCCCUACAGUACCACGGCUGCCCCCUUUUAAACAGAAUAAGGGUUUCACUAAUUAUUCAAACUGGGCCGGAAAACCUAAAUUCGGCCCACAAAUGGCCCAAAAGAAAAUAUUUCCUAAAGUACGGAACUUCAACGAAUUAUUUAAGACAUCUUCACUCCGAAUCAGCUUUUGUCUUCAACAUAAAAGUUUUAUCUCUUUCUCUUAGCUUUCGAACGACUGGUAGCACGCCUCGAUCUGAUACUCCUAGCUCCAGUUAUGAAUUUAUUCGUGCAGACUGCUAAUGCUGAAAAUAAACUGCGAGAAAUAAAUAAGUGUAAAAAUAAGAUAAAUUAUAAAAACUCAUUAAAAGUGAAAAAUAACCAAACUACAACAUGGAAAUGCAUAAGUAUAAAUAUAGAUGAAUGUGCAUCUAAAUGCACUGAUCAAAUUCCCCCACACUUGAACUUUUGCACUCCAAGCAAAAUUUAAAAUAAAACAAAGAAAACACAAACACAUCAUUAGUUACUCAUCCUAGGCUACAAGUCUUCUUCGAUUAUGUUUGCAUCGAUAGGUACUAAUCUUGCACACUAAGGAUAUCAUAGGAAUACUAAUCCAUAAUUGUGCAGUCAUAAACCUCCUGAAUACACAAAUCAACUCGAAUCAUGUUAUUAUGUUAAAGCCUAACUUACUCAUCCUUCUUUUUGCUCUUUUUCAUUCAGGCGCAAUAAUCCAUAAUUGUGCAGUCAUAAACCUCCUGAAUACACAAAUCAACUCGAAUCAUGUUAUUAUGUUAAAGCCUAACUUACUCAUCCUUCUUUUUGCUCUUUUUCAUUCAGGCGCAAUCACAUUAAGCCAGUUAUCUCCACACACCCAUAGCAAGGCGACCGGUUAGUGACUCUGAUCCUUUUCUGCACGGGGUUCUGAUACUUAAGUGGCAUAACCCUUUGCUUACUCAAUUGUAGUUGCGGGGGAUCGGACCGUAAUCCUCCCUACCAAGUUCAGCACCAGAAACCGCUGAACCAACUACAAAAGAGUCUUAUUUCCAACUUUUUUUGAAGGUUCCACAACCGUUGGGUUAAGUGACCGGGUGAGGGUCACCAAACUUAAAAGGUGUAUUCCUUUAUUUUUUCUCUUUUUUUUUCUUCGGAACACUCACUUAUAUUCAUCGGCUUCCCUGCCUAGAGUGUGCGUGAGAUGGUGUUGACUGCUGAAAUAAACUACUCAAGAGCUGUCAGAGGAUGAUAAUGUAAGGCUAAAACAUAAUAAAAAUUCAACUCAAUUUCCAUAUGCAGGAGACUUACGGUGUUAAAACAAUAUCGAUCUUGUGAAUUUUUCCCAAGUCUCCGCAAACUCGACUCAAAGUAACCUAUAGCCUAAAAAUUUCAAGAAGAUGCAUUUUUUUUAGCAACUAAAAACCAAAAACAGAGAAAAAAUGAAAAAUAAAACAAAACAAAUAAAUGAUUCCCUCCCUCACACUUAAAACAUACAUUGUCCUCAAUGAAAUACCAUAAAUAUAAAAUAAGAGUGGGAGAAAGGAAAGAACACACCCGAGGAGUCAAGGCGGAUAAGUGAUUACAUAAGCAGCCUUUUCCAAAGAGAGUUCUUUUGCAGUCUCUUCUUCCAAAGUCGGGUUCUCAUGUAGUAGCUUUGGAUAGUGUCCAUUGAUCUUGAAAUUUUGAUUAGUGUAUUCACCUUGUAUUCCAGGAUCAAAGAAGAAUCUUUGAUAAGUAAAAGUGUUGAAUGGGCGCGUGAAAGUGAUCUCCUUUUUUACAACAUCAAGAAUUAAAGGAUUAUGGGGUUGCCUCACUACUUUUGUUUCAUCUUUAAGUGAGAUUCUAUGUAUACAUAUGGAUGAGCUAAUAUCACGAGUGCCAGCCAAGGUCCAUCUAAUUCCCUUCUUAUAUUUCUGAUUAAGUUGAAGCUUUGAUGAAUAAUAUGAAUCCUCGGGAAGUGGUUUAGGCUCUAAAGAAUGUGGUUAUUCAAUGCAUGGUAUGUUUGGGGCAGUCGGAAUAUUAAGAGCUUCAUCCAAAUAAACAACUUCGUUUAUACUAUCACCCUGCAAGGCAGCAUCAAUCUCAACACAAACAACACAAAGGUUAGUGUUAGUACAAUCAUCGCAUGAAUAAACAUCAUCAAACUCAGAUAGAGAUGGAAAAUCAAGUGAAAAUAAUUCAGAAAAGGUGUCAUCAACCAACUCAUAGAUCAAUUCAAUAUGAAAAAUAGAAUUCUUUUCCAAGGGAUGUUUCAUGGCAUCGAAAAUGUUAAAUUUUGCGACAAUGUCACCAAAUUCCAUGGACAUGGUUCCAUCGUCAACAUCAAUUUUUGUCUUCGCCGUCUUCAUGAACGGUCUUCCUAAAAUGAUGGGAGCUCUGAUUGUCUUGGUUUCUCCUUCCAUGUCUAGAAUAUAGAAAUCUACAGGAAAAAUCAAAUCGUUAACUUGAACAAGAACAUCUUCGACUAUCCUGGCGGGUCGAGCGUUGCUCCUGUUUGCCAAUUGAAUGAUUAAACCUGUAUGCUGCAAAGGACCAAGACAAAGGUUAUUAUAAACAGAAGUAGGCAUAACAUUAAUGCCCGCUCCCAAAUCAAGCAUGCAAUUCUCAAAUUUAUUAUCCCCGAUGGUACAAGGAAUAACAAAUGUUCCAAGAUCCUUCUGCUUUUGUGGCAGAACCUGAGUAGUGAGGGCUAAAACAUUUUGCUCGCCUACAAUCUGUUUGGAUGAUUGUUUGGGCUGAAUAAAGGCAGAAAUAUUUCGUCCUAAGUUUACUCUUUCACUUCCCUUAAUCCUCCUCUUGUUGGUACACAAAUCUUUCAGAAACUUUGCAUACUUAGGAACCUGCUUAAUAAUAUCAAGUAGCGGAAUGUUUACCGCAACCUUUCGGAAAACAUCCAGUAUCUCUCUUUCUUUGUCUCCCUCCUCAAUUCUUUUAUUUUUCAGAACUCUAUGUGGGAAGGGGACUGGUGGCCCAUACUCCUUUUCUUUAAUUUUUUCAGUUUCGACCACAACAGAAGAAGGAGAAGAAAGUUCAGCUGGGUGAGGCUCAGAAGGAGAAAGUUCAGAAGUUACCUCAAUGAUUUUUUUAUUUUUUUCAGGGGCUGGUUCUGUAACUUUUCCGGAUCUCAAAGAAAUUGCGCUCACAUUAGCAUUAGGACCAUUCGGAUUGACAACUGUCUGGGCUGGAAGUUGGUUCGAACCUUGAGCUUGCAUGUUAUUUAUUUGAGUAGCAAGCUGUCCCAUCUGUGUGUUCAAGGUCUGAAUGCUAGCAUCGGUCCUUUGUUGGAACUGGAGGUUGUUCACGGCCAUUUGCUUAACAAGAUCCUCCAAGGAUGGUCCGGAAGGUGCAGGGGCAGCCACUUAAGGUGAGUUCUGUUGUUGGCUGGUUUGCGGGUUUCCAUAUCGAAGGUUGGGAUGGUUCCUCCAAUUGGGAUGGUAUUUGUUGGUGGACAGGUCAGGAGUGUUGGUGUACCUGUUUUGAUUGUAAAGGUUGGCUGCAUAAGCUUGUGGCAGCUCAGUAAUGAACUCGUCUCUCAGAAUAGGACAAGUAUCGGUAGGGUGCUCGGUGGAAGUACAAAUGCCACACAAAGUUGUUGUUUGAGGUUUUGCUACUGCCAGCUGUUUGACUAAGGCAGUGAGCUCGUCAAUUCUGGUCUUUAAAGGUUUGUUGGAAGAAACCUGAAUUUGAUUCACGCCUUUACUUUUCACAAAAUUGUCUCUAGUGGUGAACUGUUGAGAAUUAAGAGACAUAUUUUCAAUAAGGGCUUUGGCAGCAUCUGGAGUUUUAUCGACUAAUGCUCCACCACUAGCAACAUCAAGAAUGUUCUUGUCCAGCGGUAACAACCCCUCAUAAAAGUAUUGGAUGAGUAGUUGCUCGGUGAUCUGGUGUUGAGGAUAACUAGAUAUUAAUUUCUUGUAUCUUUCCCAAUACUCAGCAAGUGACUCAUUAUCCUGUCUAAUACCACAAAUCUCUUUUCUGAUCGAGGCUGCUUUGGAGGCAGGGAAGUAUCUCUCUAAGAACACUCUUUUUAGAGCAUUCCAGCUUGUGAUCGAGUUUAGCUCAAGAUAAUAUAUUCAAUCCUUUGCUGCACCCUGCAAUGAAAAAGGAAAAGCUCGAAGUUUGAUAUGGUCUUCAGUUAUUCCUUCAGGCCUCAACGGUGUAGAGCACACAACCUGGAAUUCUUUGAGAUGUUUAUGUGGAUAGUCUUCAGUUAUUCCUUCAGGCCUCAACGGUGUAGAGCACACAACCUGGAAUUCUUUGAGAUGUUUAUGUGGAUUCUCACCUGCAAGACCAUUAAACUUUGGCAACAAGUGUAUCAAACCAGAUUUUUGUUCAAAAGGAGUGUCAGCUUCAGGAUAUUCAAUAUACAUGCCAUUAUAAUUCACAUCAGGGACAACUAACUGCCUUAAAGUUCUUUGGUCAGUCAUAGUCAAAAACAAACACAAUGAAGGAAAACGAUUACAAUAAAUUUAGAAAAAUAAACUAACACCGAAAUUAAUCUAAUGACGUCAAUUAAAAUUUUUGAGAAUUUUUUCGGAAUUUUCUAAAACUAUCAAAACAGAAAAAAAAUCAUAAAAAAUAGAAAAAUAAGGAAUUUCGACUUUUUAGGGUGUCGUCCACUAUUUAGACCCUAAAUAAAGGCUUUUUAUCCUUGAUUUUUUCCUAAUAAAUCGACAAAAAAUCAGAAUAAUCAGAAACGAUUUUCUUAAAAACAAUUUUUUUUUCCUAAACCGCAAAAAGACCCGAACGCAAGAAAGUUAAGGCAAAAAAGUACUAAAAAAAACAACACCUAUGACUCUAAAAACGAUUAAUAUAAUCAAGAAACACCGACAACGGCGCCAAUUUGAUCCGCUGUCGCACGCGGGUCAAGAACGAGUAAUAAAAUAUAGUAAACGGGAAGCGACACCUCGAGUAUCGUAUCGCAAGGAUUCUUGUAUUAUUCUUAACCUAAUGAAAUUAAUUUAAGGGGGGUUUAUGUUUUAGUGGUCUAUUUAGUAAACAAAGCAAAAAAAAAGUGAUUAAAAUAAGCGAUUAUAAAAUAAGUCAAUCUACUGUUUUCGGUUUCUGGCUAAUCAUUGGUUUUUACCUACCAAUUUCCUAAACGGCUUCGAUCUCUAUUUGAUUCAAAUUCGAUUGACAAUCACAAUAGAUAUCUGACAGAUUUAUAUUCCUAUAUUCCGAAUUAAGCAAACAGAUAAAUACAAUCGUGAAUUAAGCAAACAUGAUUUACAAACGCAAUUUAACGACAAAGCGACGAAAACGAUGAUUAAUAGUUAGAAAUGCAAUUAUACGAAUUUAAUCAAAACCAUUCCACAAAUUACAGAUUAAGCAAAUGAAAUUUCAUAGAAUAGAAUUGAAAGAGAACGAAAUUAAAUUGAUAGAAUAAAAACCUCAAAGCCUUGGAAAUUCGGUUACAGCAGAUUGACUCUAGGAGAUUAGUUCCUCUUCAUGAUCGCACAAAAGCAAAAAGUUAUCGUGAAUAAUGUCUCCCCCCUACAGUACCACGGCUUCCCCCUUUUAAACAGAAUAAGGGUUUCACUAGUAAUUCAAACUGGGCCGGAAAAUCUAAAUUCGGCCCACAAAUGGCCCAAAAGAAAAUAUUUCCUAAAGUACAAAACUUCAACGAAUUAUUUGAGACGUCUUCCCUACGAAUCAUCUUUUGUCUUCAACAUAAACAUUUCAGGUCUUUCUCUUAGCUUUCCAACGACUAGUAGCAUGCCUCGAUCCGAUAUUCCUAGCUCCAGUUAUGAAUUUAUUCGUGCAGACUGCUAAUGCUGAAAUAAACUGCGAGAAAUAAAUAAGUGUAAAAAUAAGAUAAAUUAUAAAAACACACUAAAAGUGAAAAAUAACCAAACUACAACAUGGAAAUGCAUAAGUAUAAAUAUAGAUGAAUGUGCAUCUAAAUGCACUGAUCAUGCACUUUGACUCUAAGAUGUGUGUUCUACAAGAUAAACAAGCUCAUAAAAGUGAAAAAUAACCAAACUACAACAUGGAAAUGCAUAAGUAUAAAUAUAGAUGAAUGUGCAUCUAAAUGCACUGAUCAUGCACUUUGACUCUAAGAUGUGUGUUCUACAAGAUAAACAAGCUCCGGAUUCUGUACUCAACGCUUCUGAACAUAGUUUAUCCAAAGCUUUAUGACUCUGAAGAUUUUAACAUUGUCAAGCUCUGAAGUCGGGGGCUUAAAAAAUUCUGAUGAAUUGUGUCACCAGACUCUAAAGACCAUGUUCUGAUGAACUGGAUCAAGACUCUGAAGACAAUGUUUCUAAAGAUUCUCUCAACCAGGCUCUUAUUCUUCCUUCUAUACAUGCUUCAUUACCUCUUUAUCAGAAGCCUCUGAAAAUUGAAGAUAAGAUCAAAAAGGUAUUAUGUGCGAAAAUAGUACACAGUACAAGAUCAAAUAUUCAUCCACUACAAUGAUUUUAUGGACUAAGGACUGACUAUUGUAUCAUUUUGUCUCUCAUUUUCACAGACCGUUAUGCAAAGAUACAAUUGCAUUUAAGUAUUCCAAUUCUACCCUCCAAUGGAUCUCUUCCUUGCCUAUAUAAAGAAGACUUGGAAGAAUGGAAUUGUGCUACACUCUAAGAGAUUAACAUAUACGUGAACAAUGUGUUUUAUGAAAUAUUUUGAGAGAAAAGAAAAGAAACAUACACACAAUGAACUUUUGUUCAUACUCAUCAUAGAAUAUAACAAUGUGUUUUAUGAAAUAUUUUGAGAGAAAAGAAAAGAAACAUACACACAAUGAACUUUUGUUCAUACUCAUCAUAGAAUAUAUAUUUUAUGUGAUAUACUUGUAAUUCAUUUGUGUAUUUUGCUCUCUUAAAAGCAUUUUGUAAACAUAUUUUGUAUCUCAAUCUUUGUGAUUGUAUUUUCUUGAGUGACCAGGGUUUAGUCAGAAAUACUCAAAAAGACAUUGACAGUUGGUCUUUUUGUUAUAAUUAAGUUUGAUUAUAGUGGAUUAAAUCCUUCUGAUAAGGCGAAAUCACCUUGUUAAUAGAGAGCCAUGAUAAAAAUGUUCUUAGAUUCGAGUCAAGAGCAUUUGUUAAUUUGAGUCAAAUGAACAAGUAGAGUGGAAACAGAUCAACAUAAAGAAAAUUGACUCAUGUUGUAACACUGAUUUGAGUUAUGAAGGCUCGUGAUUCAAGUCAUUUAUAAAUCUUGAUUCAUAUCAAAUUGAUCAGAACCGAACAGAAAAAGGUGAAAAACAUUAUGAUUCGAGUCUUGUAGAAAGUGUGAUUCAAAUCAAAUGAGGUAGUGACUAACAUGAGAUGUGUCAUUCGAAUCAUGUGCAAUUUGUUAUUUGAGUCAUAAUGUUGCAUGAUUCGAAUCAUGUGUAAACUGUAAUUCGAGUCAACAAACACCAAAAUCAUCAUCUUCUCCUCAGUUUAGUUUGAUUCGAUUCAUGGAUUGUGAGUGACUCGAGACAUGCACAACAAAUCUCAAUUUUUUAAGUUUAUCAAAAUAGUUUGGAUUUCACUUCCCACAUAACUUGAAGCAACCUCAAAUAUAAUUCUUGUUCCAUUAACUCAAACAAUGUCUUAAAACAUAAUGAUCAUACUCAAACAUAUGCAGUCCAAUUAUGCAUGCUAAAAUGAAUGGAUUCAACACUUAAUCCAAAGAUGUGCAAUUAUGAAGGAGACUCAAUAAACAAUAAUAAAUAAUAUGAAAGCUUAAAAGAUAAGUAACAAAACCGUAUUGGGGUUCUCCACCUGAGUAUAUUCGAGACACGCAACUUCAUCAUAAAUAGAGAGAUUGAGAAAUAUUGAUUAAAAUAUAGGGUUUGUUCUUAAGAACUUGGAUGACUAUUUUCUUGUAACUCAACUCUAAUAUUUUUAAACAACUCUUGAAAGUAUUAUGAAUCAGAAAAUGUCUCUCUCCUUUACAAUGGUUUGUUUGAUCAUAUUUGAAAGAAAAAAUAUUAUAUUCUUUGUCUUGGUAUCUUAUUAAAGACAAACUAUUAAAUUCUUUGUCUUGAUAUCUUGUUAAACAAAGAUUUUUUUUUUCUAAAGACCAUAUAUUUUAAUGUCAUUGUUAUAUGUUCAUAUACAUCAAUUUUUAUAUAUGAUUGAACUCUGAAUAAAUCGGUAUAAGUUAAUAUAGAAUAUAUAUAUUAUAUAUUAUAUAUAUAUUAUAUAUUAUUAUAUAUAUAUAUAUAUAUAUAUAUAUAUAUAUAUAUAUAUAUAUAUAUAUAUAUAUAUAUUAUAUAUAUAUUAAAAACUAUGUAAACGGGAAAAUUGAUAUUGUGGGGAUAUAGAUCAAAAUGUUCAACGAAAAACGAUGUUGAUGAAAAAACUAACUUGUGUCAUGAACAUUCAAAAAUGACAGCAAACCUACUCCAUUGCCACACCUACUUUUAUACAAUUGACAAAAUCAUAUGCUUAUAGAUUUGUGCUUGCUCUAAAAUAUAAAUUAGUUGAAGCGUAAAAAGUAAAUAAUGUUUUUAUUUAAAAUUAAAGAUAACAUAACACAUAGUGGAAUGUUUUCUUCUCCACUAUGUUUUAACAAAUAUUACAUGAGUUCAUACAAUCACUAAUCCACAAUAAUGCUGAGAAAAAUAAAUCUCUUAUCUGGAUCUUGACUUGUAUACAACCUUGACGCCGAACUCUUUGCGAAAUCUUUACUUGAUUCUCGCUUCUUGAUUCUUCCAGCUUCACCAAACUGCUACAAGCCUAUGUGUGUGGAAAUCACCCUUGAUCCAACUGAUUUUUUGAGUGAUGAAUAUUUCGAAGAUUAAGAAGAACUUUUAUCAUGUCUGUAGGCUUCGACACAACACUAUCAAAGUCAACCUGAAGAGAAGAACGCCAUUAUUUUCACUAGAAUUUGUCACCACUAGUCACAACAACAACAAUCUUACAAGCUUCUUGAAAAUAUUUACCAAAACAUCAAGAAAUGUUAGUUUUAAGACACGUCUCCAUCAAUAAUUACAAAUCUCCAUGAUCAAGAUCAAAUAUCAAACUGGGGGUUGUAGAUUAAAGAAAUUUUGUUUGCAAGGGAUUUUUGAGUUUUCAAAAAUGGAGGUUGUUGAUUUCACAAAAUCAUAAUGUUGGUUAUGAGUUUUCUUGAUAAAAAUGGGAUGACAAAACUAAUUUAUAUGUGUUGGAGAUUAUGUACAAAAAACAGGUGAAAAUGGUUGUUAGAUUUGAGUCAAGAGCAUUUGUUGAUUUUAGUCAAAUGAGUAAGUAGAGUGGAACAAGAUUAAUAUUUUCUUUUACCUGGAUAAAGUACACUAAGCUCAGUAUAACAUCCUCUGAUCUGAGUCAUGAAGGAUCGUGAUUCGAGUCAUGUACAAAGCUCGACUCAAAUAAAAUUGAUCAUAACCAAACAGGAAAAUAUGAAAAACAUUUGGAUUCGAGUCAUGUAGAAAGUGUGAUUCAAAUCAAAUGAGCUAGUGACUAACAUGAGAUGUGUGAUGCGAAUCAUGUGCAAUUUUUUAUUCGAGUCAUUGUGUUGCAUGAUUCCAAUCAUGUGUAAACUGUAGUUCGAGUCACAACCAUCAAAAUCAUCUUGUUCUCCUCAAUUUAAUUUGAUUCGAGUCAUAGAUUGUGAGUGACUCGAGUCAUACAUAACAAAUCUCAAUUUUUUCAACUUUUUUUCAAAAUAGUUUGAGAUUUAACUUGCCACAUAACUUGAACCAACCUCAAAUAUGGCUAUUGUUGCAUUAAAUCAAGCAAUUAUCUUAAAACAUAAUGGUUAUACUCAAAUAUAAUCAAUCCAAUUAUGCAUGCUAAAAUAAAUGGAUUCAACACUUAAUCCAAAAAUGUUCAAUUAAGAAGGAGAUCCAAUAAACAAUAAUAAAUGAAACGAAAGCGUAAGAGACAAGUAACAAAAUUGUAUUGGUGUUAUCCCCCUUAAUAUAUUCGAGACAUGCAACUUCAUCAUAUAUAGAGAGUUUGAGAGAUUGAGAAACACUUGAGUAAAAAAUAGAUUUUGUUCUUAAUGAUGGGAAAUUAAGAUACAAUAACAGAUCAAUACGCAACGGACAUAAAAUUCUCACUUGUAGGAACCUUGAGCAUCAACAACAAAUAUAAGACGGCAAAUUGAACAAAUAAAGGCACAAAAGAACACCGAUAUUUUUAAGGUGGAAAGUCCCUUAAUAUACGAGUAAAAACCAAAGGAAUAACUCCACUAUAACCCAUUAAAGAUACAAGAGAGUCUUAAAGUGAUUCACAAACUAUUGCUAACAACUGCAAAUCACAAAGCAAACUAACUUACAAAUAAGAAUAAAAAAGCUGGAAAAAAUUUCAAAUUUGCAACUUCAGUGCGAAGCAGAUAACUCUCACCUCAAACGCUGUUUUGAAAUUCUGAACAGUCAAAAGUUAGAUAUAUGUUUUAUUAACAUGCCCUCAAAAUUUUAACUCGAUAUGACGGUUAACGAAUCAGAGAUAGUUGAUUUAGUGAGACUUGUUGUAGAAAAACGAGAACGAGUUUCUCUCCUCUUUUCUCUCUUUUGAAUCCUUAUUUUUUCUCCAUCUCUCUCAACUCUAAAUUGAUCUUCUCCACUUAAAUACGUGAGACAAAUAGACUAAUCAUAUUUGAUAUUUCUCUACAUAGGAAGGGAGGUCAAAUCCAACACUUAAGAACUUGAGUGACUAUUUUCUUAUAACUGAAUUAUAAAGUUUUUAAACAACUUUUAGAAGUAUUAUGAAUCAGAGAGUUGCUCUCUCCUUUAGAGUAGCUUGUUUGAUCGAAUUUGAAAAAUAAAUUAUUAUAUUCUUUGUCUUGAUAUCUUAUUAAAGAGAUAAAGUUUUUAAACAACUUUUAGAAGUAUUAUGAAUCAGAGAGUUGCUCUCUCCUUUAGAGUAGCUUGUUUGAUCGAAUUUGAAAAAUAAAUUAUUAUAUUCUUUGUCUUGAUAUCUUAUUAAAGAGAGAGUUAAUUUUUGUUGAAGAUCAUUUAUUCCAGUGUCAUUUUUCUAAGUCCAUACACAUAAAUUUUUUUUAUAUGGUUGAACUCUGAAUAAAUCUGAAUAUAUAUAUGGUAGAGACAGAUGUAAGACAGGAAAAUUGAUAUCUCUUUGGGACAUAGAUCAGUUGACGGAAAAACUAAAUUAUGUCAUGAACACGAUAAAAGUGGACAGCAAGCGACUUCAUUGCCACACCUACUUUUAUACAAAUUGGUAAAAUCAUAUGGUUAUAGUUUUAGAAAAAACUAAGACAUCAUCAAUAUAAACAAUUAUAAAUUCAGUAUAAGGAUUAAAAAUAUCAUUCAUAAUAUUUUGAAAUUCAGAAGGGGCAUUUUUAAGGCCAAAAGGAAGAACAUUCCAUUCAUAAUGUCCAAAAGGAAGAGUAAAGGUUGUUUUAUACUUAUCAGAUUCAUUAAUCUGAAUUUGCCAAUAACCAGAUUUCAUAUCAAAUUUAGAGAAGAUUAAAGCAUUGUUUAAUCUAUCUAAAAGAUCUUUUUUUAUUAGGAAUAGGAUAUCUAAUCCAUUUUAACACUUUAUUAAGAGGUUUGAACUUUAUAACAAGUCUAGGGACCCCACGUUCCCAAGGAGAUUUAGAUUUUCUUAUUAAAUUUUUUUCUAAAAGAGAUUCUAUCUCCUUUUUGCAUAAAUCCAAAUACUCAUGAUUCAUUUGAGCAAGCCUAGCUUUAGUGGGAAUCUGACUUUCAUUAAAGUCAUCAAGGUAAAGAAAUAACAUGUUUCUUUCUAUCCCAAAAGGCUUUAGGUAAAUCAUUGCAGAUUUCAUCUCUAAACUGUUGAUUAAUUAAUUUAAUUUGAUUUUGUUAAAGUCCAAAGAAUUCAACUCUAGUAAUGUUUAAUAAAUCUACUUCUUCUUUAAGAAAACAAAUUUGUUUUUCUUUUUUAAGAAGAAUAUCUUUAACUUCAUUAAUCAUCCUAGUAUGAGGAUCAGUAAUAAAGUCAAAAGUAAUUCUUUGGUUAUUGAUAAUGGAGGUAAUUCCCUUCUGAUCAACAUUAAUUAGAGGCAUAAUUUUAUGCAGAAAGGGAGUUCCUAAUAUGAUUCUAUGAGUUAAAUUUUUUACAAGAAUAAAAUGAGUAGGUAAACAAAUAUCUUUAUUACAAAUAUAAUCAUUAGACAACUUAUAAUUAACCGUGAGUUUAUCUUUUCCAGCUUGGGUAAGAGAUUAUGUGGUUUUAUCAAUGUAUUUAGUGGAAAUAAUUCCUUCUUGAAGGCAGUUUAAAUCAACGCCACUAUCAAUAAGGGCAACUUCAUUUUAUAAUAUAAAAUUUCUAUUAAUAACUAAAGUUAUUCUAACAAACCAUUUUUGAGAGGUCACUCUAUCAAUGAGAGAAAGGAAUUCAAUACUAUGUGAAUGAUUACUAGUUGAAGAUAUCUCUUCAACCUUGGAAUUACUAGAUUCUAACAGAGUGAGUCUUUGAGAUAAACCAUAGUUUUCUCUUUUAAUCUGAGAUAUGUCAUUCUUUAAGAGAUUUAUUUCUCUAUUUAAAUCCAUAAUAGAAACAGGAGUUUCACGGAUGUUAGACUGUCGAAAUCUAGACAAAACCUCACUUAAUUGGUAAGGUGCUUCUAUAAUAACAGGAAAAUCUUUUUUAGAGAUUUCUUGUAUUAAGACCUCAAGCAUUUUUAUUUUUAGUUCUUUAUUAGAAAUAGAUUCUAUAGCUUUUAUAGUUUCGUCUUGUUCUGAGGUUAAAACAUUGAACCCAUUCAUAUCAACAAUUGAUUUCCAGUAAUCUAAUUGAUUACAUUGACAAUCAUUACUGUCAGAAUAUUCAGAAGAGCAUUCAGUAGAGGAUUCAUAAAUCAUAUUAAUAUCCUCUUCUGAAGAAUAAUUUUCAGAAUCAGAGAAUUGAGAAGUAAAACUUUUUCUAAUUGAGAACGCAAUUGUUCAUCUUCUAUCUCAUUAAGCGCUUUUUUAGUCCAACAUUGGUUGGCAUAAUGACAUUUCGCCACAUUUAUGACACGUUAUUUCAAGCUUUUUGGCUUUUCUUUUACCUUUAGGGUCAAAAGAUUUUUCUUUAGGUCUACCUUUAUUGUAGUGACCCUUUUUCUUAUUCUUAUAAGAAUUUUUAUAAGAAUUUUUUGACUUAUCCUUAUAAGGUUUAUUGCGGAAAAUGUUUCCUUUUUUCUUCUUAUUAUUAUCUGGAGAUUUUCCAAGAUCAAAAGCAAAUUGUUCGCAAAAUUCACCAAGUUGGUGUUUCUCCGAAAGCUUUUGCUUUUUAAGUUGAUUUCUAAGCUUUAUGUCAUUAUAAAGUUAAUCCUUCAUUAACACCAGUGCUAAUUAUAUGACCAUAAGUAAGGUCAAAAUAAUUUAUCUUUAUCCCAUCAUUUUUCUGUCUUAAAGAUUGUCUACCCUUUUCAGAAAAGAAAUGAGGCAAUCCAUCAAUAAAUUUUGCUUUCCAAUGUAAAAAAUUGGGAUUGUUUAAUUGAUAAAUUCUUGAAAGAAAAAUAUUCUUAUACCAUCUAAAGUGGGUAAGAGAAGGACACCUAAGGUUUUGGAGAAGUGUCUGGAUUUUUUCUCCAAUAGGGACAUUGGUUCCUACAAAAUGUUGUAAGAUGGAGAGACACAGAGUAUACACUACAUCUUCUUCUCCCGUGGUAGUCAUAGCCAAAGUAGUGCUUCUACUAGUUCCUGGCUCGAUCUUAAUGAUUUUCUUAUGAUUAAGAAUUUCUAAUUUCUGAGAUUCGGUGAGGUAAUGAUUAUCGCACCUCGAAAAAUGAGAACACGACUUAAGCGAGGCACAAUCGCACACUCGCAUGAUGGACUGAACAGAGUCGCCACCGAACUUUAUUUAUUCCCAAGUAGGGAAAGGGGAAAUAUCAAUAAAACCUCUAAAAGAAAGGAUAAGAUACAGUCAUCGCAACCAAUGUCAGGGUUCAGGAGUCGAUUACGCAAGGGGAAGGUAUUAGCACCCCUCACGUCCAUUGUACUCAACGGGAACCAUUAGGUUAAUUAUGCAUGUUAGUGUUAGCUUAGAAAUGUCAGGCUUCUCGAGUUAUUAGGUGGGAAAGAAAGAAUAGAAGAGAGAAGAAUGUUUUUGGAUUUUUGCAAAGAAGGGGACUAAACCUAAGUUUUUUAUUAAUGGGCCUGACAAGAUUUCGCAAUCCUGCUCCUAUGUACCUCAAUAGAGAACUCAAGGCUUACGUAGUUCUAGGUAGAAAAAUAUUUGUUUGUUGGUCGAUUUUAGCGAAAGCUAUAUUGUGUUAAUCGACGAAAACAUUGUUUUACCCAAAACAGACGAGGAGAGGACAUAUACCACACAUCGAAUAGAUUAAAAUGUUUAACUUGGGGUAGGAUCAAAGUUUAAGAAAGUAGUCAUAAGCAUUUUAUUCUAUUAAUUAGUCAACAUCAUUACUAGAUAUUUAUUUAAUUAUUUAUUCAUAACAUUUUAACAAUAAUAAAUAAAACUACAAAGAAAACGAUAUUAUUUGGAAAAAUAAUAAUUCUAUAGUUAUUCAAACAUUUAGAUAAAAUAACAAGAAAUAAAGUUGGAGAAAAAUACAAUUAUAUUCUUUUUAUGUCUAGUAAAAUAAAGUGAAAAAAUAAGAUCAACUUAAUAUUAGACAUAUGCAUUUUUUUUUAAAAAGUCUGAUAAUAAAACAAUUAAAUACUUUUUGUUCUCUUUAAAAUCUAACUAAAAUAAUAGCCAAAGAAAAUAAAUUAAACAUAAAUUUAUUUUAUUUUAUUUUUUUCUAACAUAAUCUAAACAUAAAUAUAACUAAAUUAACCCUUUUUUAAUAUUUCUUAUAACAUAAUUUUAAAUUAUAAUGAAAAUAAAUAAAUUAACUAUUUUAAAAAAAUAAAAAUUUCUUAUAACACAAUCUAAAAAUAAUAAUCAAAAUAACUAAAUUAACUUUUUUUAAUAUUUCUUAUAACAAUCUAAAAAUAAUGAUGAAAACAACUAAGUUAAUCUUUUUAAUAAUUUUUAUAACAUGAUCUAAAACUAAUGAUGAAAAUAACUAAAUUAAUUUUUAAUGAUUUUUAUAACAUGAUCUCAAACUAAAAUAAAAUAAAUUGUAAACUUAUUAUUUUUGGAAUUUUAUGACAUGAUAUAAAAUUAAAGGAAAAAAAUGGUAAGUUUUUUUUGGAGUUUCUACGAGAUGAUCUAAAAUUAAAAGAAAAUAAAUGGUAAACUCUUUUUGAAAUAUUUUUAUAACAUAAUCUAAAAUUAAAAAUAAAAUAAAUGGUGAACUCUCUUUUUGGAAAUUUUAUGAUAUAAUCUAAAAUUAAAAGAAAAUAAAUGGUAAACCUCUUUUUUGAAAUAUUUCAUGAUAUAAUCUAAAAUUAAAAGAAAAUAAAUGUUAAAUUUUAUUUUUAUGAUUUUUAUGACAUAAUCUAAUAAUAAUAAUGAAAAUAACUAAAUUAANUAAAAUUAAAGGAAAAAAAUGGUAAGUUUUUUUUGGAGUUUCUACGAGAUGAUCUAAAAUUAAAAGAAAAUAAAUGGUAAACUCUUUUUGAAAUAUUUUUAUAACAUAAUCUAAAAUUAAAAAUAAAAUAAAUGGUGAACUCUCUUUUUGGAAAUUUUAUGAUAUAAUCUAAAAUUAAAAGAAAAUAAAUGGUAAACCUCUUUUUUGAAAUAUUUCAUGAUAUAAUCUAAAAUUAAAAGAAAAUAAAUGUUAAAUUUUAUUUUUAUGAUUUUUAUGACAUAAUCUAAUAAUAAUAAUGAAAAUUACUAAAUUAACUUUUUAAAUAUUUUAUAACAUAAUCUAAAAUAUAAAAUAAUAAAUGAAGAAAAAAAAUUAUUUUUGUGAUUUUAUUAUUAUGAUUUCUAUGUAUUUUUAUUUAUUUUAAUUUUAAAAGAAAUAAUAAAACAGAACUUUUAACCAUCCACUUUAAAAAAAUAAAAUAAAAUAAAAUAGAUAUAAAGAAAUAUGUAUAAGUUUCUACUAAUAUUCAUCUUAUUUGGUAUUUUAAGAAAAAAGAAACUGAAAAUUAUAAUUUUAAUGAAAAAGUUGACUUUAUUUUUAUUCAUUUUCUAUAUUUGUUCUCCCUUUUUUAUUCUUUUUAAAGAAAAAACUAGGAUUAAACUAAAAAUAAAAUAAAGAGAAGAAUAAGUUAAUUUAAAUGUUUUAAGAAACAAAAGAAAAGAAUGAAUGGUUAAUCCAAAAUGCGAGGCUUGAGACCGAUGAUUCGAGGGUUCCCACCGGAAUGCUAGAUUCCAAUGGUCCUCUUCUUUCGUAUUUUCUUUAAAAAGAAAGUUUUUAUUUAUUUAUAAUUUAUCUUACCAAGAUUUCCUUAUUCUAUUUAUUUGAUCACAUUAUCAACCUAUAAUUAUUUAUUUAUUUUGCAACAAAGAUAGAUAAAUAGAUAAAUUAAUUUAAAUGCGUUAGGAUGAAUAAUAUAUAUAUAUAUAUUAUAUAUUAUAGUAUAUAUAUAUAGGAGAUGAUAUGAUUCGAGGAGGAGGAGAGCAGAGGAAAGAAAGAAGGAUGAGGAGGGAGAGAGAGAGAGAGAGACGAAGAGAGAGAGAGGAGAGAGAGAGAGGAGGAGCGAGAGAGAGGAGAGAGGAAGAGGAGGAGAGAGAGAGAGGAGAGAGAGAGAGAGAGGAAGAGAGAGAGAGAGAGAGAGAGAGAGAGAGAGAGAGAGAGAGACGAGAGAAAGAGAGAGAUGAGAGAGAGAGAGAGAGAGAGAGGGAAAUCACAACUUAAAUGUAUUAUUCCAAAUAGUUAUUAAAAAUUAUAAAAUAAACUAAGAAAUGGUAUUUUUUAAAUUUUUUUUAAAACUCAAAAUUAAUUUCUUUUUUAAUAAUAAAAAAAUAAUCUAUUUUUUAACUUUUUUAUAACAAAAUCAACAACAAAAAAAGAAAAAUGGACCUGGGUGUUUCAAAGAACAAAUGGGGGAGGGGGGCAAAUAGCAGAGGGAAAGCCCAAAUGGCAAGCCCAUGGAGCGCGAAUUGGACUCGCAGUGUCAUAUACAAAAGGAAAAUGACAACGUCCAAACAUUCCAGGCUCAAACAAAACCCUAAAAUUAAAAGACUAAUCAAGAUAGAAGGAGUUAGUUUCCAUCAUCUCUUCCUUCUGUCACAACACGUUAUUCUCUUCCUGAGAAAUCUUAGCAAAAAUGACAAGCAAUAAAUGUUAUCCUCAUGUAAAUAAACAACGCAACCAUUUACGUGAUAUGGUAAAAAGACCAUUUUCCAACAAACCUUUUAAAAUACACUGAUUCUAAAAGAAAAUAUAUGGCUUAAAUGAUAUUGAAAUAAAAUAAAUGUAAAAGAAGGGGAAUUAAAAAGGUCAGUAAGAAUCAUAUCACUAAAAUAUUUCCUCUUUCUCCCUCAUGGCUUAGUUGGUUCCUCGUUCUCUCAAGGUUAUAAAGGGAAAGAGAGAGGAAAUUAAAAAAAUCAGACUCCAUCACACCUAUUUCUCACCAGGAGCAUAGCGGGGCCAACCGGCGGCGCCGCUUUUCUUAUGGCGGCUCUUCAACUCAAAACCCUAACACCUAAACACGACCCCCCCACCAAUUUUUGAUGUAGAUUUUGAAUUCGUCCUCUAAAAUAACAAAAAAACAACUAUUCUUCUGAAUCGAGAGAGAACUAAAACCCUAACCUAACAAAUUACCAAUUAACGACCUAAACACAAAAAAGACCUCCAUUCAAAGUGAGACAAGUAAUAAGUAGUAAGGAAAAGAAUGUAAUGCACGAAGACAGAGGCGAAAACGACCUCGACAGAGUUUUGAGACUCCGACGAGGUUCUCUUACCAACCUCGAAGGUAAACGUUUAUGGAUCUCUCUCUCUGCUUUAGUCCACUUCAACUUCUUUUUGGACGACUUUUGUUUCCUCUGAAAUGAAAGACUAUCUUUUGUGGAUCAGGUUUUUUCGAUUGCUAUGGUUUUUUAACGAGCUUUUUGGUGUGACUGCUGGGAUUUUUUUAUUCUUGAUGGUUGCUAGUUUGUUUGAAGGUUCUUAGUCUUUUUCUUAUCUGAUCUUUGGUGGUUUUAUAACUCUUUAUCUCAAACGUUUUUUCUUAAUUUUUUACCUCCCCUUUCUUUAAGAAAAGAACUCCAAUUUAUACUGAUUUCCCAUGCUUUGGAUUAGGAUUUGCAGUAGUUGAUGUUCAUUGACAUAAUUGGAUAUGCAGUUGGUUACUUUUGAAGUGUGAGAGUUUGUUUUGAUCAACUAGUAUAAACCUCUGUUAUAUUUGAAAUUGUGAUAGCCUGUAUUUGCUUUCUUCAUAUUUUGGCUCUUUGCUUUGUCUCUUAUUCUAAAAUGGUGUUAACUUGAUGCUCUGUUUUACUGCAGGUACAAGACAAAAUUUUGCUCCACAAGUGUACUAUGGUUAAGGUGUAGAGAUGGUAGCAUGGCCUAGUCAAUUCAAGCCUUGAGAGAUCAACUUUUUUUUUGUACUUAUUCUCUUUUUUUAAUGUAGUUUGUUACUGUAAAAACUACCUUAUUAUAAUGUAAAAACUUAUAUUUAUAUUUUUAUUGAAAUCUUUUUAUUUAUUUGUGAUGUAGAAGACAAAGUGAAAUUAAAUGUGACUAUUUUUUUUUUAAUUUUGAGAUAAAGAAAUGAUAUUUAUUUAUCAAAUGUGACCAAAUAUUUUCUUAAAUCCAAUUAAUAGAAUCAAAUAAAUUAUCAUGACUAAGAUUAUCCCCUUUUUUUUAAUUCUUGACUUAAUUAUAUCCUUUGUCACUUAGUUCAAAAUCUCAAACCAACCUAAUUAAUUAUAUUUUCAAACCAUGAAAGAAUUAUGUUAAAAAAUCUAACAACAAAGAGCAAAACCAAAUAGGUCCAAAUAAAAUCCAAAUUAAUUGAAUUAAAAAAUGCAAAUCAAAGCCAAAUGGAUGCAUGGAAAGAACAAUUAUAUGAAUGGCAUGGUAAAUGAAGAAAAAAAAUUCUAAUAAAAUUAAAUAAAUGCCAUUAAAAUGAAAUUAAAAAAAUGGAAUAAUUUAUGUCAAUGAGUGGAUGCAAGUUGAUAAAUACAAAUGCUUGAAAUGUAAAUGAAUGCCUUUAGGCGGGGAAAAAUUUAGGGUAUGACAAUGAUCCCACCGGCCUCUAAGUUGGCCAACAAGUCAUGUGGUUAUAAAGGAUGCUAUAGAACUAUAUGAAUUUCCAUGUUACUUGCAAACAGUAGAAUACAUGAUCAUCCUAUGGACUGUAUCUAUAAUUUGUUUGUCAUUAAGACUAUCAACACUCCAUUCAUAAAUGGCUUUUCCUGAAUAAGAAUUCUGGAAUGGUUCAAGUUCCUCAAAGAGCAAAUCUUGCGGUGAGGGGCGUUUGUAAUAAUACUUUUCUAUAGGCCUAGGAGAAUAAACAGGGUUUAUAUUAUUAGUAUUAUUAAUGUCAAAGUUACUAAUGUCUAAAUUAGCAAACAUAUAAGAUAAUUGGUCAAUAUGGUUUUCGUUAUUAUCCUCAGAAUAAUCUUCAUAGGACAUAACUGUGAUAUUAAGAGCUUUUAACUUUUGUUCUAAAAUACGAACAAAUUCUUGACCAUUGAUUUCCAUUUUAAAUCCCUCAAUGGAAAUAGGAGGUUGUACUAUAGAAACAUCCGAAAUAGUGGAUGUGGACAUCUGGUCCUUAGGUUUAUUUAUGAUGUCAAUAAUGAUAUCUUGACGUGCUAUUUGUUUUUCUAAAAGAUUUUUUAUGGAUAAUAGAUCUUUUUCCAUAGAGAGUCCUUAGGUUUAUUUAUGAUGUCAAUAAUGAUAUCUUGACGUGCUAUUUGUUUUUCUAAAAGAUUUUUUAUGGAUAAUAGAUCUUUUUCCAUAGAGAUAAUUUGUUCUCCUAAGCAAACAAGAUAAACAUUGGUAUAAUUCUGAGACCUGAUGACGAAAUUUAAUUCCUUAAGAGUAACUUGAUUUUGUUCAACUCUUUGUAACUAAAGGUUAAGUUAAGGGGUAGCUUCAGUAUUUUGACUCAAACUUAUCGUUUGUUCAGGGGGGAAAACAAGCUUCCAUUUUCUCUCCUCUAACAUUUUCCCAAGGUCUCUGUAAAACAAGGAUUUCUUCUUGUUUUUUACUUAUGAAAUAGUUAACAAACCAUUUCACAAAAGGAAUGAAAUCCUGCCCAAGGUUCAUUUGAGUGUAGUACUCAUCUUUAAAUUGAGCUAAUUCGAGUUUUGAAUUUAAAAAAAAAAACCAUUCUCUGAAUUGAGUAUAUCUCUCAUGUUGAAACUCAUCAUUGAUGAGUUGUCUCAUCUUGCUACCAGGGGAGUAAUCUAACAUUAGGAAAAGUUACCUAAUUAUAUAUGGUAGAGACAUAUGUAAGAUAUAUAUGUGGUAGAGACAGAUGUAAGACAGGAAAAUUGAUAUCUCUUUGGGACAUAGAUAAGUUGAUGGAAAAACUAACUUAUGUCAUGGACAUGAUAAAAAUGGACAGCAAGCGACUUCAUUGCCACACCUACUUUUAUACAAAUUGGUAAAAUCAUAUGCUUAUAGAUAUAGUGCAAUAAUGCUCUAAAACAUAAAUUGGUUGAAGCAUAAAAACUAAAUAAUGCUUUUAUUUAAAAAUUUAAAGAUAGCACAAUACAAAAAUCCCAAUAAACAUAACAUAUUAAACGAUAAACCAACAAAACACAAUACAAAAAACCCAAUAAACAUAACAUAUUAAACGAUAAACAAACAAAGUUACUCUAAAGAGAUGCAUUACAUAGGAAUUUUAGCAACAAGACAAAGAGGAUUCUUCUUGUGUUGAGUGAUCCCUGGCAACAUUUCAUAAUCAAUAUCUUCCUUUUUUAACCCAUCUGGCAAUCCCCAAUCAAAUGAAUAGAGAAGAUUAGCAAGAACAAGUUCCAAGAAAGCAACUCCCAUGGUUAUACCAGGACAAAUUCUACGACCAGCUCCAAAAGGUAUUAGUUCAAAAUCUUGUCCAGUAAAAUUUAUAGAACUUUCUAAAGAACUUUCUAGGAAUCUCUCGGGAUAAAAUUCGUCAGGAUUUUUCCAAAAAUUAGGGUCUCUCUGAAUAGCCCAAGCAUUCACAUACAAUAUUGUCUUGGCUGGAAUUUCGUAUCCACUUAAAG